Long non-coding RNA from Oncorhynchus keta (chum salmon), 853 nucleotides. RefSeq lists it as uncharacterized. The record is from RefSeq and is a predicted model, not a curated record. NCBI's taxonomy places the organism in Eukaryota, Metazoa, Chordata, Actinopteri, Salmoniformes, Salmonidae. The transcript is spliced from 4 exons.
UUCCUGGAGAACUACAGUCCUAUAGGUUCACUCCAACCCUGUUCCUGGAGAACUACAGUCCUAUAGGUUCACUCCAACCCUGUUCCUGGAGAACUACAGUCCUAUAGGUUCACUCCAACCCUGUUCCUGGAGAACUACAGUCCUAUAGGUUCACUCCAACCCUGUUCCUGGAGAACUACAGUCCUAUAGGUUCACUCCAACCCUGUUCCUGGAGAACUACAGUCCUAUAGGUUCACUCCAACCCUGUUCCUGGAGAGCUACAGUCCUAUAGGUUCACUCCAACCCUGUUCCUGGAGAACUACAGUCCUAUAGGUUCACUCCAACCCUGUUCCUGGAGAGCUACAGUCCUAUAGGUUCACUCCAACCCUGUUCCUGGAGAACUACAGUCCUAUAGGUUCACUCCAACCCUGUUCCUGGAGAACUACAGUCCUAUAGGUUCACUCCAACCCUGUUCCUGGAGAACUACAGUCCUAUAGGUUCACUCCAACCCUGUUCCUGGAGAACUACAGUCCUAUAGGUUCACUCCAACCCUGUUCCUGGAGAACUACAGUCCUAUAGGUUCACUCCAACCCUGUUCCUGGAGAACUACAGUCCUAUAGGUUCACUCCAACCCUGUUCCUGGAGAACUACAGUCCUAUAGGUUCACUCCAACCCUGUUCCUGGAGAACUACAGUCCUAUAGGUUCACUCCAACCCUGUUCCUGGAGAACUACCCUCCUAUAGGUUUACUCCAAGCCUGUUCCUGGAGAACUACAGUCCUAUAGGUUCACUCCAGCCCUAUUCCUGGAGAACUACCCUCCUAUAGGUUCACUCCAGCCCUAUUCCUGGAGAACUACCAUCCUAUAGGUUCACUC